This is a long non-coding RNA of Priapulus caudatus, 295 nucleotides long. RefSeq lists it as uncharacterized. The transcript has 3 exons. Lineage: Eukaryota; Metazoa; Priapulida; Priapulimorpha; Priapulimorphida; Priapulidae. The record is from RefSeq and is a predicted model, not a curated record.
GUAGGUUCGGCUCGAUUCUCUCUUCCUUUGAUAUACGUAUAGACAGCGAACAGACGUGAGAGAGGGAGGAGGUCUUCAGAAGCCGCUGUGGUAAAGAACGGGAAUCUGUUCACAGCACAGGCCAGAUGAAUGGCCUAUUGGUCACUCUCCUACUUCUACUCGUAGCUACGUGUAUGUUUGCACCACUCUCAUCGGGUUUGAAAUAUUGUGGAAAACCCGGAGGUUCUGGAAUAGAUUCGACGGAUUGCUGGCAUGGCUCAUGUAACGAUAAGGGAGGCUGGGCGAUUGGCGAUCC